UGUUAUAACAUAUCGUAUUGUCGAAAUCUCGGUCAGGUCGGUGUUUACAAGCGGGGAAAAUGUACGGAGGGAACGGUGGGGGGGAGGUGGAGUGGAGGGGCGGCGCCAUGACGGCGAACACUUGGCAGCAGUGCAGGUCGCGUGAGUUGCAGUCCGAUCGGCAGGCACAAAUCGGCAUACGGAGCGAUCCGGUAAUUUGCACGGAAAACACG
Cinara cedri is the source of this 212-nucleotide non-coding RNA. The record is from the annotation of a GenBank genome assembly. NCBI's taxonomy places the organism in Eukaryota, Metazoa, Arthropoda, Insecta, Hemiptera, Aphididae.